Molecule: ribosomal RNA, 1271 nt
Filed under: Providencia rettgeri
Lineage: Bacteria; Pseudomonadati; Pseudomonadota; Gammaproteobacteria; Enterobacterales; Morganellaceae
Description: partial 23S ribosomal RNA
Rfam family: Bacterial large subunit ribosomal RNA
Source: RNAcentral
GACGAGUCACUACGGUGAUGAAGUAGCUCAUGCCCCGCUUCCAGGAAAAGCCUCUAAGCUCUAGAUUAUCAUUAAUCGUACCCCAAACCGACACAGGUGGUCAGGUAGAGAAUACUCAGGCGCUUGAGAGAACUCGGGUGAAGGAACUAGGCAAAAUGGUGCCGUAACUUCGGGAGAAGGCACGCUGGCAUUAGGUGAAGUCCCUCGCGGAUGGAGCUGAAGCCAGUCGCAGAUACCAGCUGGCUGCAACUGUUUAUUAAAAACACAGCACUGUGCAAACACGAAAGUGGACGUAUACGGUGUGACGCCUGCCCGGUGCUGGAAGGUUAAUUGAUGGGGUUAUCCGUAAGGAGAAGCUCUUGAUCGAAGCCCCAGUAAACGGCGGCCGUAACUAUAACGGUCCUAAGGUAGCGAAAUUCCUUGUCGGGUAAGUUCCGACCUGCACGAAUGGCGUAAUGAUGGCCAGGCUGUCUCCACCCGAGACUCAGUGAAAUUGAACUCGCUGUGAAGAUGCAGUGUACCCGCGGCAAGACGGAAAGACCCCGUGAACCUUUACUAUAGCUUGACACUGAACAUUGAGCCUUGAUGUGUAGGAUAGGUGGGAGGCUUUGAAGUGUGGACGCCAGUCUGCAUGGAGCCAACCUUGAAAUACCACCCUUUAAUGUUUGAUGUUCUAACGUAGCCCCGUUAUCCGGGGUGCGGACAGUGUCUGGUGGGUAGUUUGACUGGGGCGGUCUCCUCCCAAAGAGUAACGGAGGAGCACGAAGGUUGGCUAAGCAUGGUCGGACAUCAUGCGGUUAGUGCAAAGGCAUAAGCCAGCUUGACUGCGAGAGUGACGGCUCGAGCAGGUACGAAAGUAGGUCUUAGUGAUCCGGUGGUUCUGAAUGGAAGGGCCAUCGCUCAACGGAUAAAAGGUACUCCGGGGAUAACAGGCUGAUACCGCCCAAGAGUUCAUAUCGACGGCGGUGUUUGGCACCUCGAUGUCGGCUCAUCACAUCCUGGGGCUGAAGUAGGUCCCAAGGGUACGGCUGUUCGCCGUUUAAAGUGGUACGCGAGCUGGGUUUAGAACGUCGUGAGACAGUUCGGUCCCUAUCUGCCGUGGGCGUUGGAAGAUUGAAAGGGGCUGCUCCUAGUACGAGAGGACCGGAGUGGACGCACCACUGGUGUUCGGGUUGUCAUGCCAAUGGCAUUGCCCGGUAGCUAAGUGCGGAAGAGAUAACCGCUGAAAGCAUCUAAGCGGGAAACUUGCCUUGAGAUGAGUCUUCCCUGAC